CCUACGGGGGGCUGCAGUGGGGAAUAUUGCACAAUGGGCGCAAGCCUGAUGCAGCCAUGCCGCGUGUGUGAAGAAGGCCUUCGGGUCGUAAAGCACUUUCAGCGGGGAGGAAGGCGGUGAGGUUAAUAACCUCAUCGAUUGACGUUACCCGCAGAAGAAGCACCGGCUAACUCCGUGCCAGCAGCCGCGGUAAUACGGAGGGUGCAAGCGUUAAUCGGAAUUACUGGGCGUAAAGCGCACGCAGGCGGUCUGUCAAGUCGGAUGUGAAAUCCCCGGGCUCAACCGGGGAACUGCAUUCGAAGCUGGCAGGCUAGAGUCUUGUAGAGGGGGGUAGAAUUCCAGGUGUAGCGGUGAAAUGCGUAGAGAUCUGGAGGAAUACCGGUGGCGAAGGCGGCCCCCUGGACAAAGACUGACGCUCAGGUGCGAAAGCGUGGGGAGCAAACAGGAUUAGAUACCCUUGUAGUC
RNAcentral lists this ribosomal RNA (465 nucleotides) under uncultured Klebsiella sp. Its description in RNAcentral is "bacterial SSU rRNA". It matches the Rfam family "Bacterial small subunit ribosomal RNA", at positions 338 to 795 of the family's 1533-position model. The record is from RNAcentral. Lineage: Bacteria; Pseudomonadati; Pseudomonadota; Gammaproteobacteria; Enterobacterales; Enterobacteriaceae.